UUGAACCAGAGGGCAAAUUUUCCUUCCCCUGAACAAUUUCUGUGAUGGAAGGAACAUGGGGGGGCUUUUAAACAGACACUAAAUGGUGGUUACUGGGAAGGACUGCUGGGAACUGAGAUAUGUGGACUAUCUUCUAUGGUUGAUUUGCUGUUAUUAUAAGGUCUGGGCUACACUCUCCACUAAAGAAUGCAAUUUACAUAUCAAAAGUGCUUCCUGGACUUCUGCAUCUAUUGUUUUAACAAGGUGCUUUAUACUACAGUAGGGCAGCCAGAGCCCUCCUUUGGCCAUUUAAUGACCAAGCCAGAGGCAAGAUUCAAUUGAAGCAAUUUCAACCCAUUUGUGAGAUUUUCAAGAAGACUACAGUACAGGAGAGGUAGGGGGCUGAGAAAAGAGAAGGUCAAUUCAAGUCCAAGUCUGUAAUAAACAACAAGAUCCUAUGUGAAAUCCCAGCUUCUCAUCUAAAGUUAUUUUGGAAGCUUACUGAAACCACUGAGCUCACAGCAGACAAUGCUCUGUUUGGAAUACUGAGGAACCUCCACCCUUCUGGGAAUUCCCCAUUCCCAGAAUGCUGCCUGUGUAUUGCUCCUUCAUUUAUUGCUCCAGACGAAGUUGAAAUGAAGGGAAAUGGACAAUAAAAUCUUCCUGACAUUAUAAUUAAAUGUGUGACUUGUCAAAACCUUUGUUUAACAGGAUGAGCACGCUUAGCCAGAUCCCAUAUGUGUGUUAAUUAUAGCAAGAAAGCAAACAAAAUGUCAAUAGUUAAAGCAAAUCCUACCAACAGGAAAUGGCUAUCAAGCUGUGAUAAAAUGUUUAUCCGGAAAUGUUUUUACACUAUCCAAAACAUUUCCUGUCUGUAACUUUUUCUUUUUUUUUUUUUUCUUUUGUGGGAGAAAGAAUAUCUGUGGUGCUAGAAAUAGCAUCUUUGCAAGGAAUUAAAUGACAGUGCCUAUAGAAAAUGGCAAUAAUCACAGAUCUAGCUUCUCUCCUGUUUCCUUCUUUGUACACAGCGUGAUGUAACUCUGAAAGAAAAAUGUUUCCAGAAGUUACACAGACAUCACUAAAGUUUGCACAUCACAGAUUAAAAAAUAAUUCAAAGCAGAUUUUUCAUAGGUAAUAUAUAAGAAAUGUAAUCAUAGAGGUAGUGGAACCUUGAUCCUUUGCUCACCGAGACUAGAUAGUGAAACAUUAUUUCUAUUAAAAUAUCUGGAAAAGAUCAAAAGAGAUUAAUUAGGCUGAAAAACAGUACUAUUGAAGGCAUCAAAAGAUGAUACUCAAGGGGAAGAGGAGCCAGAGAUUAUCUGUUGAAAUGCUUACUCAAAAUAAAAACAACAAAGAACUAUAUUCCCAUAAUCAUGAAUUUUCAAAACUAGGAAAAUUCUGAUUUGUUGUAAACAUUAUGGGUAGUAUCAGAAAAUCACAACAGAGCUGGCAUUAGAAUAUAAGCAAAUACUUGUCAGGAUGAACCUAUAAGACAUUACUGAAUAUAGAAGCAUAAUAGACGAUUCUUCCUAAAUUUGUUCUAUCAACCAUAUGACACCUAAAUUGUAGCCUGUUAUUCCAUU
Long non-coding RNA from Prinia subflava (tawny-flanked prinia), 1562 nucleotides. RefSeq lists it as uncharacterized. The record is from RefSeq and is a predicted model, not a curated record. Lineage: Eukaryota; Metazoa; Chordata; Aves; Passeriformes; Cisticolidae. The transcript has 3 exons.